RNAcentral lists this ribosomal RNA (437 nucleotides) under uncultured bacterium. RNAcentral describes it as "bacterial SSU rRNA". It matches the Rfam family "Bacterial small subunit ribosomal RNA", at positions 958 to 1392 of the family's 1533-position model. The record is from RNAcentral.
AACGCGAAGAACCUUACCAGGCCCCUUGACAUCCUCUGACAACUCUAGAGAUAGAGCGUUCCCCUUCGGGGGACAGAGUGACAGGUGGUGCAUGGUUGUCGUCAGCUCGUGUCGUGAGAUGUUGGGUUAAGUCCCGCAACGAGCGCAACCCUUGAUCUUAGUUGCCAGCAUUUAGUUGGGCACUCUAAGGUGACUGCCGGUGACAAACCGGAGGAAGGUGGGGAUGACGUCAAAUCAUCAUGCCCCUUAUGACCUGGGCUACACACGUGCUACAAUGGAUGGUACAAAGGGCUGCAAGACCGCGAGGUCAAGCCAAUCCCAUAAAACCAUUCUCAGUUCGGAUUGUAGGCUGCAACUCGCCUACAUGAAGCUGGAAUCGCUAGUAAUCGCGGAUCAGCAUGCCGCGGUGAAUACGUUCCCGGGCCUUGUACACACCG